GCCCGGGUGGAGAAAUUAGUAAACUCGCCAUCUUGAGGUGGUGGUGCCGAAAGGUUUGCAGGUGCAAGUCCUGUCCCGGGCACAA
Molecule: transfer RNA, 85 nt
Filed under: Candidatus Lloydbacteria bacterium RIFCSPHIGHO2_01_FULL_41_20
Lineage: Bacteria; Candidatus Lloydiibacteriota
Description: tRNA-Leu
Source: RNAcentral